UGUACAGCCUGCCGGACACUAUUCGAAGAAGAAGAGUCUCUCUAUAGCAGAGGUAUUUUAUAAAUCCAGGCCUUGAGAGCCGGUGUCCUACAUGGUUUCCAACCAAUCUGCCAAUGAAGCUUCUUUUUGGCUAAACACACCUGAACCCGAUAAUCAGCAGCAGAUAAGGCGAGAUUUCUUGAAAACCAGCAGGAGGCCGGCCCUUGAGGCCUGGAUUUGGGCACCCUUGCUCUAUAGGAACAGAGAAACAGAAGAAGAGCAUCGCUCGCCAUUCCCUCAGCUAUAAGGCAAGCAGAGCAGGAGUGUUUCCCCAGAACAGUCAAGCAGAAAAAAGCAGGGGUCUGCAGGCUGAGCUGGACCUGGACCGGCACGAUGCAGACUGCAGCGAGUGGAAUAAGAGCUGCAAAGAGUCUCCUGUUGGGUACAGAGUGGUCAGGUCAUUCUGUCAGGGAGGACGCAGUGGAGUACUCAAAUGCAGAGGAACAAAACCAUUCUCAUUCACCAAAACACAACUGUUGGUUUGCUUCAUUGUUGUUUGAUGUUGUUUUGAUUUAAAAAAACAACAACCCUUUUCUAACUCUGGUCCUUCAAAUAUUCAAGAUUCAAAGGUUCUUGACAGCAGCACAACACAUUGAGCAAAUGAAUGAUGCAAAAACUUGUAUCUUUUCAAAAUAGAUAGACUUUAUGAAUGUAAAAAGCUUAACAUACCUCUUCAUGCUUCCAUUUCUUUCUGCUUACUUUCCAUCUGAUCGCUGUGUUUCUUUGGUUGAAACAAGCUUUUGUUGCUUUUGUGACCAUUUUAAACUCAAAUAACACAUGUUGACAGUAUUUAUUCAUUUGUUACUCAUUAAAUAGAGUUACAGGCAGGCUGUAGAGAAUAGGUACUUCACAAGUAUAGGACAAGUUAAGAUUUGACUACCACUCUUCUAAUCUUUCACUUUAGCUUUGCCUACACAAACAGUUCUGUCAGUAUUCCAUGAAGAUGCACCAGAUUCUUGCUGUGAUUUAGGAUUCCAGGUAUUCAGUCUGCCUCUGCGAAUACUCAGUCUUUAUUCCCAAGCUUUACUGAAGCAUGACCUGCUCACAUUACUAUGCUUUUAGUCCAUUUUGGAGAACAAUUAUGGUGCUUGUCAUGUGGUGCCUGUCCAAAAUAUCAUAAAAAGACGUGUCUGUGUCAAUGUUUACCUGUGGUCAUCAAGAGUCUCAAAUGAGGAGCAGAAAGAACGUUUAAACAUUAUGUACCUUAUGGCUAACAGAGUGAAAUGACCGAGAAUCAUCUUUGAAAUACACUUAAAUAUUGUCAAGAACAGUAAAACUAAAGUAUCCCAUUAACCAGAUCCGUUUAUAGUAAAUUGAAUCUUUUUUUCCAAUAUGAUUUUAGGUGUUUUUCCUGCUUAGAAAAAGUUUUUUUUUUUAUCUUUUUAUUAAAUCUGUAAUAUUAAGUUUAAGAGUGUAAACAGUGCAGUGUUUUGAUAACUAUUGGUGGUGCAUUCAGAUUUUCACUCAGAUUACAGAGAGACACAGAGUUAUUUUACUAUUUACAUAUUUCUCCAUAGGUUUUGUUACAAAUAUUAUUUAUUAGGGUUAAGUUUAUAUCUGUAUGUUGAAGUUAAAGUACCCACCCAUAAAUUAUCCAGAUUGUACUGGCUGCAUUAAAUGGGAAAGUCCAAAGGCAGACAAUAACAAUAAUAAUAAUAAUAACAACAACAAUAAUAAUAAUAAUAGUUAAAUAAAGGGCAUUGGUAAAAACUGAGCUAGAAUGGGCUAAAACCAACAGUUCAAAAAGGGUCACAAGACAGAGAAUCUGACUCAGAUCAACUUAUUACAGUCUACUAAAGACAAUAAACAAAAAUAAAGCAUCUGUGUGUAAAGAUUAGUUACCUUAAACCUGAUUAUGAACACGAGACACAUUUAGAAAAAAGCUCUACCUAAAAACACAAAGGAAAAUUUAGCAACAGUUUUUUUUGGCACAAAGUUUCAGAUAACUAACAUGAAUCAUAAGAAAACACCUAAAAUCCCCUCAUUGGUAAGUUUGUUGAACUCUGCACUUGCGUGUUUUCUUCAACCCUUACAAGAACCUAACUGCAUGGCAGUUUACUCCCCACUAAGGCUGGUUCCCAGUCAACAAUAAAAUUGCUGGUACUAGGAAAUUUGUAAUAAUACAAGCAAAGACCAAUAAAUGAUCUUCUUUGUUGUUAUUUUGCAAACAAACAAUUUGCCUUAUGCUUAUUUAGCCUCCAUGACUUGAAAUAGUUGUUUAAAUUUGAACUUCUGAUGACAAAAGCAUCCUUUUCCCUCAGCAUCCGAGGGUGUUCCUCACAACGUAACAAAUAAUUUGUAUUUACUUCUCAAGAUAGUACAUUUAUAAAAUGAUCAUUUAAGUUAUAUAUUAUCUGGAUUCAUCACAGAUGAAUUCAUUAAACAAGCUACUAUCAUGUGACCUUUAGUCAUUUCCUAUUUUUAACAAAGCUGCAGUUUGUCAAGAGGCAGAAAACUUCACCUAUCUUGCUAGCACCGUCGACAAGCCGGGAGGAACUGACCCGGACGUCAAAGUACGCACCGCUGAGGCAAGAGCUGCAUUCCAUCAGCUGAAGAACAUACGGGGAGCAACAGAUCUGACUCUCAAGCUCAAGAUAAGGAUCUUUAACCCAUACUACUCUACGGACUACCACUAAGCUGAUGAAGAAACUCCAGACCUUCAUCUCAGAAGAAUCCUGGAGGUGCGCUGGCCCAACAUCAUCAGCAACCAAGAGUUAUGGGAGCAGGACGGAGCAGCAACCAGUAGGAGAAGACGUCUCCAAAAGACGAUGGCGAUGGAUUGGCCACACCCUGGGAAAACCUGCAGCUAGCACUACAAGGCAGGCGGUGAGAUGGAAUCCCCAAGGGGAAAAAAAAAGGAGGGAGACCUAGGAGUACGUGGCGCCGAGAUCUGGAAGCAGGGGCCAAUAGCAUGGGGAAAACGUGGGGGACAGCUGGACCAACUCGCCCAAGACCGCUCUGCCUGGAGAGCUUUUGUUUGCGGACUAUGUCCCAACCGGAGUGACAGGCGGAAGAAGAAGAAGAAGAAAAAGAAAAAGCAGUUUGUCCAUAGUUUUUUAGGUUCUGUUUAGUUUCAGCAAAACAUUUUACGUUUCUCCAUGAAAUGUAAUAUCCAUUUGUAAAUUCCUGUUUUAUUUUGAAAUUUUUCUUCUGUCCUGAGUCAUUCUCCUAUACAGUCAAUUGUGAUUCAGGACGUUUUUGUCAUAUCGCUGUCCUUUUUUUUGUCUAGUUUGUUUAUACUCUUUGCUUUUAAAAAGACCUUAAUUCCUUAAUUCCUCGGAAUUCCUGAAUUCCACAUCCGCCCUAUGGACAAACUCUAAAUACAAUGCAACCAGCACUUAAUUGACUACAAUAAAAGAAAAAUAUGAAUUCAUUAUUUUAAACAAUAACACUUUAGAUCAAAAUCCUUUAAACUUUGACUUUACGCUUAAACCUACUGCAUAUGAAUUUUGCCCAAGUUGUUCAAAAUCAAAUGUGUGGCAGUAUUUCCCUAUAAGAAAAACCCAAAAGCUUUAUAAAUCUGCUUUAACAGCUCCACUUUUCUGCCUUCCUCUCAUCAGAUCUCAUACUAACAACACAUCUUGCUACAAUAUUAGCAUCAGUCCCUCUUGGCAACGUGAGCCACCAUAUAUUCCUCGGCAAAGAUUGAGUUUGCCAGGCAACUGAUGGCUCUCCCGGUAGUGACAUAGCUUCACGCUGGCGGCGGCUCUGCAGAGGCUUGGGAUGCGCUCAGCUGCAAUGUGGGAAGAUGUGAAGAUGUCCUGCAGUUUGGUGGUUUUCUCUGCAGCCUUUAGGACUGAUUGGUUAGCUGAAGCAGCAGCUGUCUCGUCUCUUGAGUGUGUUGUGGUUUUCUCAUGUUAGACGACUCUUGAUUGUUGUCUCUCUUUGUGUGUAAUUUGAUUUGAAGCCACAAUCUAGCCUGAUUAUCGAACUGUUGCAGCUUCAUUACACUUAAUGUGCAAAUAAACGCAACAGGCUCCACAACAACCAUUUCGCGAUAAGAACAAAACAAAAGCAGAAACAGGGAAAAUGUCAAAAGAUGUCCUUUUGGGUCAACAUUUUACUUUUAAAUGGCAUUUUAAUCCCUGGAGAUUUAGAUAUCUACAACUCAAUGGGUCCAUUCUUCACCUGUGCACACAAAUGAUAAAAUAACUUUCCUUUUUUUUUUCCAGAGGAUAUCAUUACAUUAUUUAGGAACUAUUCAACUGAAUUUGUAUAGUGGAGAAAUUGUGCAAAGUGUUACUAAAAACUAUCAAGUUAUUUAGUUUUUUUUGUUUAUUGUGAUGCUGAAGUUUAUGUACUUGCUGUACUUAUAGAGUUAUUUAUUUGUCUGUUUUGGGUGAUGUAACAACAAUGUGGAGGUUUGGCAAAAUCAUCUAAAGUACAACUUUCAUAACUUGUUUUUUAAUGCCAGUAGUUUCAGAUGUUCUGUUCUGUUUCAUGGUCACAGGUUCAGAAUAUCAUGCACUUUGGCAAUAUAGUGGGUCUCAUAUGGAAGAUCUGAAUCUUUUAAAAGUUUUUCUGGAAAAAAAAUCAUGCUUUGUGGUUUGUGGAGGAUCCGGAUGCAAAAGAGCUUGUCAGAAACUUCAACCAAAACCAAAAAAAAGGGGGGCUGCAAAAAAGCAACAUGCAAAGAUGCACUUUAGAGCACAAAUCUCUAAAAAUUUUGACUUUUAUAGACUUGGGGAAUAAUCACACUGAAGACCCCCUCCAAUGAAAAUUGUGUUCUUGGAGUUUUUAACAUCUUCUUGUGGCAUUUCUUUCAUUAUGGAGGACAGAUAUAAAGAAAUCUGAGACUAAAAUUGAAUAUCUGGGUAUUCAAAUUGUUGUCAAUCAGGUGCAGAUGAAAAGAUCUGCUGGAUAAAGCUUGUAAGUGUGACGUUACUAUAGCAACCCUCAGGCUCCUCGCUACGCUCAAUUCUGAUGCAUUGUAGACAAAUAGAUCCAUGUACGUCUUUGUUUUCCUCGUCUGAGCGGACAUGGAUAGCUCCAAUAUUUUUGCUGCACCAGUAACGUUACGUUUGGGGUGUGAGGGGCUCUGAGGUAGUUGGGAGUUGGGUCAUCUGGACCCUACAAGACUGUGCGCUGAACCUUUGAACACGUCAAUGUAAGGGUGGGGUCAUCUGGACCCCAUACGCUAGCAGAAGGGUUAGUAACCCAAACUUUAUGUAAGCAGUUAUCAAAACUACAGCAGAACUAAAACAAACCUAAAUCAGAAAAAUAAAAAUAUUCAACACACAGUUCUUGGACAAAAUGAGAACAAAAUAACUACAAACAGUUAACCCUAUAAGAAAAGGGGACAGCUCUCUGAUGCUCCUGAAAGAAAUCAAAUUGAACCGGACCAGGGAUGAGGGCGGUUGGAGAAGGGUCAGAGCAAACAGCAAACAAUGAACUAUAGAGAACUAAAAGUAUUCUUAACUAUAUCGUUGUGGUCCAUGCAGAAUAUAGUCCAUUUAAAAUACACGUCAACUAUUAAAGCUAAAUGUUGUGUUUGCUUGAUUCUUUUUGUUGAAGAAUUUGUGAAAACAGUCAAAGCACACAUUACUGCUAUAUCUGAACACAUUUGAUGUUUACCAUUUCUCAGACUUUUAAUAUUUACGGAAUAAUUUACAAGUAAAAAAAAGAAAGAAAAAAGACAGGAUUUGUUUUCAGGGGAAAGUAUAGAGAAAAAUAGUCCCUGGGUUUGUUUGUUUUUUUCUUUUUUGUUGGGGCGGUUUAUCCAAACUAUCGGUUUGUCACUGAGACACAUCAAUGUUCCUCCCCUUAUUAACCCCAUAACUCAGCUUCCCCUUUCAGCUGACCUCACCUUUUUAAAUAACCCUCUGUGUCUCAUCUCACACAGUCAAAGCGUCUCUAGUGCCACUCAGGGAACAUGCAUGAAUGUGUUUUCUCUGCUUUGUUGGGUUCGGUUCGCCCUUUCAACAACUGUGAUUUGUGAUCAAAUUACCUUUUUUUGCUGGAUACAGGUCUCACCUGGAGAGUUCACCUGACAGCACUGAUAACAAUUUUACUUUUUAAUUUGAGUCUGUCGCAUGUAAUGUAGUGAAAAAGCAACAAAAGUUGAUGUUUUGUGAUUUAGUAAAGUGACAAAACCACAGUUAAAAAAAAGCCUAAACACGCACAAAAAAGGCACGUUUUCUAUUGUUGAAUAAUUCUACAAAUAUUUAAACCAAAUCAAACCAUUUUUUAAAACACAUUUCAUGCAUUUCUAGCUCAGAGUGAAAAAAAAAAUAAUAAUAACCUUUUACAUAAAAACUAUAAAAAAAGAAAACUAUUAAAACACACACAAUGUCCCCAACCCCUUGAUCUCAAUACCCCCCAAAUUACUAAACAGAGGGAUUACUAAAUACAAUUUAUACAAUUUAAACUAUUAUUACAGCUUUAGGAUCCAUCUCUGCUUCAGCAUCAGUAUUGAUAAAAGGAGAUAAAGUACUCAUGUCGGUUGUGAUCAGUAGAUUUAGUACUUGGUCCCAUAACUCACAUAUUUGUAUGUGCAGUGUUCUGUUUCCUUUAUUAAAUGUACUGCAAUCACUUGUACCAAUGUCAACUUAUUUAGAUACAUUUUUUUUAUUUAUUGUUCAUCACUGACUGGUUAAUAUUUUUUUAAAACAUUUUUUGAAUCAUUUAUAAUAUAUACUAGUAAAAGAAUAAUAUUGUAAUUACAUUAAUUAUGUCAUGGUGCCUCUGUCAGACUCCUCCCCCUCCAGCUCUGCUCUGCUUCUGAAUGCCACCAGCUGUCGUCACUCAGCUCAUCACCCUCUGCUGCUCAAAAGGAGACCCAGCUCCAGUAUUCAACGCCAGUUCGUUGCCCCUUAUGGAAAACCACUUCACGAGUGACGUCAGUGUGGACCUUCUUCCAAGCCGCCUGGGAAAACCCGAAGACCUCUCGGCCUACGUAAACUGUGUUAACACCUCCAGCCACGCCACAAGCCACUGUCUAGUCCAGACCUCGCCAAGCCAACGCCACAACCAUCCACGGAAAAAAAAAUUAUUUCUUCCCUGCCACUUGCCUGUCUUCAUUCUGGGUUCCAGCAUCUGGGUUCGCCUCGCCUUGAAAAUCAUGAGAAAUUUAAAUAAUUAACUCAAAAAAGAAAAGAAAACUGGGGUUUGACUUUAUUUGUGAAAGCCCCGUUGGCAUUAAAAGGGAAGAUCCCCAUCAGUUCAUUAACAAUUUUGCACGGUCAUUAAGUUCUGUCAAAAAAUUCAGGAAGGGGGUGAGGUAGGACACAAAAGGUAGGAGACCUUAUGGCAGGAAUUCAUUUGAUAAAUAAACUUAAACAACAACAAAGUGUGACCCAAGGGGAGGAAAAUGUGACAAAUCCGAUGACAUGACAAGCAUGAACUGAAAACCAGAUAUUUAAAUUUAGUGAGGGUCAUUUACUGAAACUAGAACAGCUGUGAAUAGAAACUUAAACCUGAUGUGAAGCAGAACCAAUAAAACAGAUCUGACAACAAA
Oryzias latipes (Japanese medaka) is the source of this 7495-nucleotide long non-coding RNA. RefSeq lists it as uncharacterized. NCBI's taxonomy places the organism in Eukaryota, Metazoa, Chordata, Actinopteri, Beloniformes, Adrianichthyidae. The record is from RefSeq and is a predicted model, not a curated record.